Molecule: ribosomal RNA, 252 nt
Filed under: uncultured bacterium
Lineage: Bacteria
Description: partial 16S ribosomal RNA
Rfam family: Bacterial small subunit ribosomal RNA
Source: RNAcentral
UACGGAGGAUGCGAGCGUUAUCCGGAUUUAUUGGGUUUAAAGGGUGCGUAGGCGGUCCGUUAAGUCAGCGGUAAAAUUGCGGGGCUCAACCCCGUCGAGCCGUUGAAACUGUCAGACUUGAGUUGGCGAGAAGUACGCGGAAUGCGCGGUGUAGCGGUGAAAUGCAUAGAUAUCGCGCAGAACUCCGAUUGCGAAGGCAGCGUACCGGCGCCACACUGACGCUGAGGCACGAAAGCGUGGGUAGCAAACAGG